GAGGGUAUAGCUCAGUGGGUAGAGUGCAUGCUUAGGAUGCACAAGGUUCUGGGUUUGAUCCCCAGUACCAUUA
Molecule: transfer RNA, 73 nt
Filed under: Camelus bactrianus (Bactrian camel)
Lineage: Eukaryota; Metazoa; Chordata; Mammalia; Artiodactyla; Camelidae
Also listed under: 2 other names
Rfam family: tRNA
About the family: Transfer RNA (tRNA) molecules are approximately 80 nucleotides in length. Their secondary structure includes four short double-helical elements and three loops (D, anti-codon, and T loops).
Source: Rfam by way of RNAcentral